This 887-nucleotide long non-coding RNA is filed under the name Ursus maritimus (polar bear). Its description in RNAcentral is "lncRNA (ENSUMAG00000001266.1)". The record is from RNAcentral. Lineage: Eukaryota; Metazoa; Chordata; Mammalia; Carnivora; Ursidae.
CAAGCCUCCCCUGGAUUGAGUCCUGGAGUGGUCUCAGGACUUCCUUGCUCCCAAACAGGAAGCAGGUGGCUAUGGUGCAUUUCCUGUCCUUGUUCUCUCUGUGGGAACCAAGGAUGAGGCAUUGGCCCAAAAGCAGGACGUUCCUGAGGACGGAGCUUGCUGAACACUGGCCCUCUGGUGACCCCCAGGUUUGCAGAAGCUGAUGGACCCAGGGCCCACCUGGAGCCUCCCAGAAGGAGAGGAGUCAUGGGCUCAACCUGAGAGCUGGAUUCAGCGUGUUUUCCUGAGUCUGAUGCUUGGUCAUGUUGGCCGCUGGGCAAGCGGUCCGGGGUUCCCUGGGCUGGCCGCCGUGGACAAUGUCUCCUGAAUGCACACGGUGAAACUGACCCACAUGCUUUGGGAGGAGACAGAGUGGCUUGGAAACUGGGUUAGGAAUCACCAUCUCCCUGGCAACCAAGCCCACCCAGCACGGGAGAGCGCAGUCUUUGCUCUCGGAGGAGCGGACCCAGGAGGAGAGGGCCCAGAACCGCACGCCCCAGGGGUUGGCACCAGACUCCUAGGACAUUACUCUUCAGACACCUGGCAUCUGAUCCCUCACAGCAUGCCCAAGUCAAGCCUGACCCACGCGUGUUCUCUUUUACUACGUAACAAAUUACCCCAAAAUUUAGGGGCAUAAAACACGGUUUAUGCUCUCCCGGAGUCCACGGGCCAGAAUUCCAGGUGCGGCCUCGCUGGGGCCCCUCAGGAGGUUGCUGUCAGCUCUGGUCGAGGGCUGUGGUCUCAUCCGAGGGGCACCUGGGUGGGGCGGUCAGCAUCCAAGCUCCCUUGUGUGGUCCUUGGCAAGCCUCGCUCCCCCAGCAGGGCAGCUGGCUUCCCCAGGAUGAGCG